RNAcentral lists this ribosomal RNA (162 nucleotides) under Meridionale 'variabilis' complex sp. PSE3b. RNAcentral's name for it is "5.8S ribosomal RNA". Lineage: Eukaryota; Metazoa; Arthropoda; Pycnogonida; Pantopoda; Callipallenidae. The record is from RNAcentral.
UGACCACUCUGGGCGGUGGAUCACUCGGCUCGCGGGUCGAUGAAGAACGCAGCCAGCUGCGAGACGUGAUGUGAAUUGCGGGACACAUUGAGCAUCGACUUUUCGAACGCACAUUGCACUCUAGGUCACACGCCUGGGGUGCGUCCGGCUGAGGKUCGGUAA